GACGAACGCUGGCGGCGUGCUUAACACAUGCAAGUCGAACGGAAAGACCCUGCUUUUGUGGGGUGCUCGAGUGGCGAACGGGUGAGUAACACGUGAGUAACCUGCCCUUGACUUUGGGAUAACUUCAGGAAACUGGGGCUAAUACCGGAUAGGAGCUCCUGCUGCAUGGUGGGGGUUGGAAAGUUUCGGCGGUUGGGGAUGGACUCGCGGCUUAUCAGCUUGUUGGUGGGGUAGUGGCUUACCAAGGCUUUGACGGGUAGCCGGCCUGAGAGGGUGACCGGCCACAUUGGGAAUGAGAUACGGCCCAGACUCCUACGGGAGGCAGCAGUGGGGAAUAUUGCACAAUGGGCGGAAGCCUGAUGCAGCAACGCCGCGUGCGGGAUGACGGCCUUCGGGUUGUAAACCGCUUUCGCCUGUGACGAAGCGUGGGUGACGGUAAUGGGUAAAGAAGCACCGGCUAACUACGUG
RNAcentral lists this ribosomal RNA (468 nucleotides) under uncultured bacterium. RNAcentral describes it as "partial 16S ribosomal RNA". It matches the Rfam family "Bacterial small subunit ribosomal RNA", at positions 28 to 507 of the family's 1533-position model. The record is from RNAcentral.